Molecule: ribosomal RNA, 658 nt
Filed under: Mesorhizobium sp. K488
Lineage: Bacteria; Pseudomonadati; Pseudomonadota; Alphaproteobacteria; Hyphomicrobiales; Phyllobacteriaceae
Description: bacterial SSU rRNA
Rfam family: Bacterial small subunit ribosomal RNA
Source: RNAcentral
UAACACAUGCAAGUCGAGCGCCCCGCAAGGGGAGCGGCAGACGGUUGAGUAACGCGUGGGAAUCUACCUAGCUCUACGGAAUAACCCAGGGAAACUUGGACUAAUACCGUAUACGUCCUUCGGGAGAAAGAUUUAUCGGAGUUGGAUGAGCCCGCGUUGGAUUAGCUAGUUGGUGGGGUAAUGGCCUACCAAGGCGACGAUCCAUAGCUGGUCUGAGAGGAUGAUCAGCCACACUGGGACUGAGACACGGCCCAGACUCCUACGGGAGGCAGCAGUGGGGAAUAUUGGACAAUGGCGAAAGCCUGAUCCAGCCAUGCCGCGUGAGUGAUGAAGGCCCUAGGGUUGUAAAGCUCUUUCAACGGUGAAGAUAAUGACGGUAACCGUAGAAGAAGCCCCGGCUAACUUCGUGCCAGCAGCCGCGGUAAUACGAAGGGGGCUAGCGUUGUUCGGAAUUACUGGGCGUAAAGCGCACGUAGGCGGACUAUUAAGUCAGGGGUGAAAUCCCGGGGCUCAACCCCGGAACUGCCUUUGAUACUGGUAGUCUAGAGUCCGAGAGAGGUGAGUGGAAUUCCGAGUGUAGAGGUGAAAUUCGUAGAUAUUCGGAGGAACACCAGUGGCGAAGGCGGCUCACUGGCUCGGUACUGACGCUGAGGUGCGU